CCCGCUGAACUUAAGCAUAUCAAUAAGGCGAGGAACAGAAACCAACAGGGAUUCCCCUAGUAGUGGCGAAUGAAGCGGGAAAAGCUCAAGUUUGAAAUCUGAGACUUGUCUCAGAGUUGUAAGCUGAAGAGGCAAUGACCGACGAGGUCCGGGUCCAAUUUCUUUGGAACAAGAUGUCAUGGAGGGUGAGAACCCCGUCUGUGGCUCGGAUACCUUUGUCCUUGUGUCGUGUCCUCGAAGAGUCGGGUUGUUUGGGAAUGCAGCUCAAAAUGGGUGGUAAAUUUCAUCUAAGGCUAAAUAUUGGCGAGAGACCGAUAGCAAACAAGUAGAGUGAUCGAAAGAUGAAAAGUACUUUGAAAAGAGAGUGAAACAGUACGUGAAAUUGUUGAAAGGGAAACGCUUGAAGUCAGUCGCGUCGUCCGAGACUCAGCCUCGCCUCGGCUUGGUGUACUUCUCGGACGACGGGUCAGCAUCAAUUUUGCCCCUUGGAUAAUGGCGAGGGAAAUGUGACACCUUUGCGGGUGUGUUAUAGUCUCUAGUCGCAUGCAAGGGUCGGGAUUGAGGAACUCAGCACGCGCCUUCGGGCGUCGGGGUUCGCCCACGAUACGUGCUUAGGAUGUUGGCGUAAUGGCUUUAAACGACCCGUCUUGAAACACGG
This 658-nucleotide ribosomal RNA is filed under the name uncultured fungus. RNAcentral's name for it is "eukaryotic LSU rRNA". It matches the Rfam family "Eukaryotic large subunit ribosomal RNA", at positions 24 to 664 of the family's 3401-position model. The record is from RNAcentral. Lineage: Eukaryota; Fungi.